This 274-nucleotide ribosomal RNA is filed under the name uncultured bacterium. RNAcentral's name for it is "partial 16S ribosomal RNA". It matches the Rfam family "Bacterial small subunit ribosomal RNA", at positions 523 to 796 of the family's 1533-position model. The record is from RNAcentral.
AUACGGAGGGUCCGAGCGUUAAUCGGAAUUACUGGGCGUAAAGCGCGCGUAGGCGGAUAUUUAAGUCAGAUGUGAAAUCCCUGGGCUCAACCUAGGAACUGCAUUUGAAACUGGAUAUCUAGAGUAUGGUAGAGGUAAGUGGGAUUUCAGGUGUAGCGGUGAAAUGCGUAGAGAUCUGAAGGAACAUCAGUGGCGAAGGCGACUCACUGGGCCAUUACUGACGCUGAGGUGCGAAAGCGUGGGUAGCAAACAGGAUUAGAAACCCCUGUAGUCC